UGAGAGAGGAAGGGGGAGGAGGGGGGACGGGGAUGGGGGAAGCGAGGGGUGAGUCGGAGAGAACAAAGGAGGCAAGCGGGAGGUCAUAUCGCUGCAGGAUGAUCCACUCCGGACUUUUAGUCCAGGAUGAUCCACUCCGGGCUUUCAAUCCAGGGCGAUCCGCUCCGGGCUUUCACUCCAGGGCGAUCCGCUCCGGACUUUCACUCCAGGGUGAUCCACUCCGGGCUUUCACUCCAGGACGAUCUGCUCCGGGCUUUUACCCAGCGUGAUGGCCUCCGUGAUCCUUGCCACCCCACGGCGGCUCCAUUCGAGCGGCAGGGAGCGAUGGGGGGGGUGAAGAGAACCGCAGCGUUCCUGCAAAUUCCAUGCUCACUCCACUGCUGGUGGAAGCGCUCCCACUCGAGGAAGC
Lethenteron reissneri (Far Eastern brook lamprey) is the source of this 409-nucleotide long non-coding RNA. RefSeq lists it as uncharacterized. The record is from RefSeq and is a predicted model, not a curated record. NCBI's taxonomy places the organism in Eukaryota, Metazoa, Chordata, Hyperoartia, Petromyzontiformes, Petromyzontidae.